AUGUCACUUUAUGAUUUUUGCCAGGUCUGUUUGAUACCCUUUGAGGGCAGCAUAGAGGAGCCACAUUGUAAUGAUGUGGAGGGAUUUAUUGAUAUGAUUGCUGUAGGGAAAACGAGGAAAGUUUCCGAUGCGAGAAUCACUAGCAUACAUUUUCCUGUUUUACGUUACUUCGCAAUAUUUGCUAGUAGAUGCUUAAUUGGUCGCGGGAACUGUGGGAACCUUAGUGCUCCUGAUAUUGCUAUUUUGCGCCAUGCCCUGUUUCAUGAUACUACUUUCAGCUUAGGCGCUAUUGUUGCUAGACGGUUAAAUCUGAACCGUACUAAGGGCCCCGUCCUCGGGGGCAUCUUUGCCUCGCGCCUUGCUGCACACUUUAACAUACCUAUCAGGCAUUAUGAGAAAGAGGAAAAGUUGCUGCCUCCUAUAGCUCUAGAUUAUAAAAGUAUGGUAGCACAUGAGUUUAUUGUUAAGGAUAGAAAUAAGACACUCAAAUAUAUAUUGAUAUUUAACAAAAAAUAUUGCGAGUUUAUUACCUUGCCUGUGCCCUCUUUGUAUGACAUAUUUUUAGGCAAGUACCUUGUUCCGCCGGAGGACAUUCAUGCCUACCGGAGCCAGAUGUCAGUUGUAGAGCCGAAGCCACCAUCUGACCCUCACCGUCAGUCUGUUUAUGAGUGGAAUUCGGAGGAGAUCGCCAGCCAGUGGCAAUCUGAGGACCCUUCUCAGUGCGACCCCAGCUACAACUUUGAUCCAUGGGCAUAG
This 756-nucleotide ribosomal RNA is filed under the name Triticum aestivum (bread wheat). Its description in RNAcentral is "partial small subunit ribosomal RNA". The record is from RNAcentral. Lineage: Eukaryota; Viridiplantae; Streptophyta; Magnoliopsida; Poales; Poaceae.